This 351-nucleotide ribosomal RNA is filed under the name uncultured rumen bacterium. RNAcentral describes it as "partial 16S ribosomal RNA". The record is from RNAcentral.
UAUUCCCCACUGCUGCCUCCCGUAGGAGUCGGGCCCGUGUCUCAGUGCCCGUGUGGCUGAUCAUGCUCUCACAUCAGCUACUGAUCGAAGGCUUGGUGGGCCUUUACCCCGCCAACUACCUAAUCAGCCGCACACCCAUCUCGAAUCGCCGAAACUAUAAUAACAGUGUGAUGCCACACCGCUAUAUUACGGGGUAUUAAUCCACAUUUCUAUGGGCUAUCCCCCUAUUCAAGGAAGGUUGUGUACGUGUUCCGCACCCGUUUGCCGGUCGCCAGCCUCUAUAUUGCUAUAAAGCUGCUGCCCCUCGACUUGCAUGUAUUAAGCCUGCCGCCAGCGUUCAUCCUGAGCCAA